ACGGGAGGCAGCAGUAGGGAAUUUUCGGCAAUGGGGGAAACCCUGACCGAGCAAUGCCGCGUGAAUGAUGAAAUUCUUCGGAAUGUAAAGUUCUGUUAUAAGGGACGAAUGAUAGGAUUAGGAAAUGAGUUCUAUUUGACGGUACCUUACUAGAAAGCUCCGGCUAACUAUGUGCCAGCAGCCGCGGUAAUACAUAGGGAGCAAGCGUUAUCCGGAUUUAUUGGGCGUAAAGAGUGCGUAGGUGGUCAUUUAAGUCUGUCUUAAAAUCCCAUGGCUUAACCAUGGAGGGUGGAUGGAAACUGGAUGACUUGAAUGCAGAAGAGGUAAGUGGAAUUCCAUGUGGAGCGGUAAAAUGCUUAGAUAUAUGGAGGAACACCAGUGGCGAAGGCGGCUUACUGGUCUGUGAUUGACACUGAGGCACGAAAGCGUGGGGAGCAAACAGGAUUAGAUACCCUGGUA
RNAcentral lists this ribosomal RNA (459 nucleotides) under uncultured Turicibacter sp. RNAcentral's name for it is "partial 16S ribosomal RNA". It matches the Rfam family "Bacterial small subunit ribosomal RNA", at positions 341 to 792 of the family's 1533-position model. Lineage: Bacteria; Bacillati; Bacillota; Erysipelotrichia; Erysipelotrichales; Turicibacteraceae. The record is from RNAcentral.